Molecule: ribosomal RNA, 597 nt
Filed under: Cryptococcus sp. NBRC 105038
Lineage: Eukaryota; Fungi; Basidiomycota; Tremellomycetes; Tremellales; Cryptococcaceae
Description: eukaryotic LSU rRNA
Rfam family: Eukaryotic large subunit ribosomal RNA
Source: RNAcentral
AAACUAACAAGGAUUCCCCUAGUAACGGCGAGUGAAGCGGGAUGAGCUCAAAUUUAAAAUCUGGCAGCAUCAGUUGUCCGAGUUGUAGUCUAGAGAAGUGUUUUCCGCGUUGGCCUGUGUACAAGUCCCUUGGAAUAGGGCGUCAUAGAGGGUGAGAAUCCCGUCCUUGACACAGAUCCCAAUGCUUUGUGAUACGCUCUCAAAGAGUCGAGUUGUUUGGGAAUGCAGCUCAAAAUGGGUGGUAAAUUCCAUCUAAAGCUAAAUAUUGGCGAGAGACCGAUAGCGAACAAGUACCGUGAGGGAAAGAUGAAAAGCACUUUGGAAAGAGAGUUAAACAGUACGUGAAAUUGUUGAAAGGGAAACGAUUGAAGUCAGUCAUGCUUCUCUGGAUUCAGCUUGUUCUACAAGUGUAUUUCCAGUUUUGCAGGCCAGCAUCAGUUUUGUUUGGUGGAAAAAGCUUGAGGAACGUGGCAACUUCGGUUGUGUUAUAGCCUCUCUGCGCAUACAUCAGAUGGGACUGAGGAACGCAGUGUGCCUUUAUGGUCGGUCUUCGGACACGUACGCACUUAGGAUGCUGGCAUAAUGGCUUUAAACGAC